UACGUAGGGUGCGAGCGUUGUCCGGAAUUAUUGGGCGUAAAGAGCUCGUAGGCGGUGUGUCACGUCGGCCGUGAAAACCUGCAGCUUAACUGUGGGCGUGCGGUCGAUACGGGCAUCACUGGAGUUCGGCAGGGGAGACUGGAAUUCCUGGUGUAGCGGUGAAAUGCGCAGAUAUCAGGAGGAACACCAGUGGCGAAGGCGAGUCUCUGGGAUGAUGCUGACGCUGAUGCGCGAAAGCCAGGGGAGCAAACGGG
Molecule: ribosomal RNA, 254 nt
Filed under: uncultured bacterium
Lineage: Bacteria
Description: partial 16S ribosomal RNA
Rfam family: Bacterial small subunit ribosomal RNA
Source: RNAcentral